UGCAGUCGACGGAAACGAUGGGAGCUUGCUCUCAGGCGUCGAGUGGCGGACGGGUGAGUAAUACAUAGGAAUCUGCCCAGUAGCGGGGGACAACUUGGGGAAACUCAAGCUAAUACCGCAUACGCCCUACGGGGGAAAGCAGGGGAUCUUCGGACCUUGCACUAUUGGAUGAGCCUAUGUCAGAUUAGCUUGUUGGUGGGGUAACGGCCUACCAAGGCGACGAUCUGUAGCUGGUCUGAGAGGACGAUCAGCCACACUGGGACUGAGACACGGCCCAGACUCCUACGGGAGGCAGCAGUGGGGAAUAUUGCACAAUGGGCGAAAGCCUGAUGCAGCAAUGCCGCGUGUGUGAAGAAGGCCUGCGGGUUGUAAAGCACUUUCAGUAGGGAGGAAACAGUUGCGGGUUAAUAUCCCGCGACCUUGACGUUACCUACAGAAGAAGCACCGGCUAACUCUGUGCCAGCAGCCGCGGUAAUACG
This 479-nucleotide ribosomal RNA is filed under the name uncultured bacterium. RNAcentral describes it as "bacterial SSU rRNA". It matches the Rfam family "Bacterial small subunit ribosomal RNA", at positions 56 to 527 of the family's 1533-position model. The record is from RNAcentral.